GACGUAGGGGGCGAGCGUUGUCCGGAUUUAUUGGGCGUAAAGCGUGCGUAGGCGGCUGCGCAAGUCGGGUGUGAAACCCCGGGGCUCAACCCCGGAACUGCAUCCGAUACUGCGUGGCUAGAGGUAGGUAGGGGAGAUCGGAAUUCCUGGUGUAGCGGUGAAAUGCGCAGAUAUCAGGAGGAACACCGGUGGCGAAGGCGGAUCUCUGAGCCUUACCUGACGCUCAGGCACGAAAGCUAGGGGAGCGAACAGG
RNAcentral lists this ribosomal RNA (253 nucleotides) under uncultured bacterium. RNAcentral's name for it is "partial 16S ribosomal RNA". It matches the Rfam family "Bacterial small subunit ribosomal RNA", at positions 524 to 776 of the family's 1533-position model. The record is from RNAcentral.